GAUGAACGCUGGCGGCGUGCCUAAUACAUGCAAGUCGAGCGAACAGACGAGGAGCUUGCUCCUCUGACGUUAGCGGCGGACGGGUGAGUAACACGUGGAUAACCUACCUAUAAGACUGGGAUAACUUCGGGAAACCGGAGCUAAUACCGGAUAAUAUAUUGAACCGCAUGGUUCAAUAGUGAAAGACGGUUUUGCUGUCACUUAUAGAUGGAUCCGCGCCGCAUUAGCUAGUUGGUAAGGUAACGGCUUACCAAGGCAACGAUGCGUAGCCGACCUGAGAGGGUGAUCGGCCACACUGGAACUGAGACACGGUCCAGACUCCUACGGGAGGCAGCAGUAGGGAAUCCUCUGCAAUGGGCGAAAGCCUGACGGAGCAACGCCGCGUGAGUGAUGAAGGUCUUCGGAUCGUAAAACUCUGUUAUUAGGGAAGAACAAAUGUGUAAGUAACUAUGCACGUCUUGACGGUACCUAAUCAGAAAGCCACGGCUAACUACGUG
RNAcentral lists this ribosomal RNA (497 nucleotides) under uncultured bacterium. RNAcentral describes it as "partial 16S ribosomal RNA". It matches the Rfam family "Bacterial small subunit ribosomal RNA", at positions 28 to 507 of the family's 1533-position model. The record is from RNAcentral.